This 995-nucleotide unclassified non-coding RNA is filed under the name Hevea brasiliensis (rubber tree). Lineage: Eukaryota; Viridiplantae; Streptophyta; Magnoliopsida; Malpighiales; Euphorbiaceae. The record is from RNAcentral.
GAAUUCACCAACUACACCUGAUUUCACCAUCUCUAUGUUUUGCUCCAUAUCAGCCAGUCCUUUACCAUAUUCAAAGGAGUUGCAGUUUUGAGUACUUCGAGAGUUUUGAUGCAGUUUUUUGGAAUCAUCCUAAUUUAAAAUGCAAAAUACUUCAGCCAAGAUAAAAUAUACCAACUAGCAGAAUAAAUAAAAUUGCAAGUGCACAUAGUUCCAUAGACAACUCAAACAAACGAUAAAAUAAUUAAAAGAGAAGUUGGACUGAACGAAACACAUCAACAGAAAAGUAGAUACGUUCAAUCAGUCAUCAGCCGCCAACACAUAAUGGAAAUGAAAUGUCUAAAAAACUAAGCAACCCAAAUAUACUCCAUAUCAUUUGGCAUAUUGAUUCUUGUUAAGAAAUAAUAUAUUCAGCAUAUUGAAAUACAUUUUGUAUUGAUUUCUAAAUUUGCUUCGUACUCAUCUAAAAGCACUGAACUUUACAAAGAUACCAUGGUUAAAGAAACUGUAAAAUUUCACUAAGGACGAAUGGAUUUCAAUGUUAGAUGCCCUGCAGCAUUCUUCUAGAAGACUGCUCGAAACCAUAUUUUCCCAACUCAGAAUUUCAAUCUUUUGUUGGAGAAACAUAAUAAAACAUAGUUUCAAGCUUCUAAAGGCAUUUACUUCUAUAUAUGACACAAAAAAUCCUAUGGCGCCAAGCUAUCCUGUAAAAGUAUCAGUGCCCAAGAUGCUCCUGCUGCCCAUGAUCUGCUGUUAGCUAAAAAAAUUUUCUCAGCCAAGUGUUCCAAAAUGGUGAGAUUUGGCAAUUAGUAAAAGAAAUUCGUCCAUCAAAGCAUUCAACAAUCAUACACUAUUAAGGUAUAAAAUUCAUCACUCAGAAAAUAUUUACUGUAGAAAUGUAAUAAUGUAUGCAACGCGACGGGGAAGAAAGUAUGCAUGAAGAAACCUGGCUUGAGGGAGCUCUUUCAAGGGCGGAUCCAAACCACCCAUUUGCACAA